This is an unclassified non-coding RNA of Pongo abelii (Sumatran orangutan), 355 nucleotides long. It matches the Rfam family "Metazoan signal recognition particle RNA". Rfam says of the family: The signal recognition particle (SRP) is a universally conserved ribonucleoprotein. NCBI's taxonomy places the organism in Eukaryota, Metazoa, Chordata, Mammalia, Primates, Hominidae. The record is from Ensembl.
GCCUGACGUGGUGGCGGGUGCCUGUAAUCGCAGCUACUUGGGAGGCUGAAGCAAGAGAAUCGCUUGAACUCAGGAGGUGGAGGUUGCAGUGAGCUGAGAUGGUGCCACUGAACUCCAGCCUGGGCGACAAGAGCGAAACUCCAACUCAAAAAAUAAAUAAAUAAAAUAUAGAUAGAUAGAUAGAUAGAUAGUGACCUGCCAGGAGCAGGGGACCACCAGGUUGCCUAAGGAGGGGUGAACUGUCCCAGGAUGGAAAUGAAACAGGUCAAAACUCCUGUGUUGAUCAAUAGUGGGAGAGCACCUGUGAAUAACCACUGCACUCCAGCCUGGACAACAUAGUGAGACCCUAUCUCUA